This 118-nucleotide ribosomal RNA is filed under the name Danio rerio (zebrafish). The record is from RNAcentral. Lineage: Eukaryota; Metazoa; Chordata; Actinopteri; Cypriniformes; Danionidae.
CACUACAGCCAUAUCACCCUGCAGCCCAAGACCAGUUUCUCACUAAAGUUUAGCAGGGCUGAGUCUGGUCAGUACCUGGAUGGGAGACCAGAAGUGGUGUUAGUGAGGGCAGCAGGGG